UACGAAAGGGGCUAGCGUUGUUCGGAAUUACUGGGCGUAAAGCGCGCGUAGGCGGGCUAGCAAGUUGGGGGUGAAAUCCCGGGGCUCAACCUCGGAACUGCCUCCAAAACUGCUAGCCUAGAGGAUGUGGGAGGAUAGUGGAAUUCCGAGUGUAGAGGUGAAAUUCGUAGAUAUUCGGAAGAACACCAGUGGCGAAGGCGACUGUCUGGCGCAUUUCUGACGCUGAGGUGCGAAAGCGUGGGGAGCAAACAGG
Molecule: ribosomal RNA, 253 nt
Filed under: uncultured bacterium
Lineage: Bacteria
Description: partial 16S ribosomal RNA
Rfam family: Bacterial small subunit ribosomal RNA
Source: RNAcentral